RNAcentral lists this ribosomal RNA (449 nucleotides) under uncultured bacterium. RNAcentral describes it as "partial 16S ribosomal RNA". It matches the Rfam family "Bacterial small subunit ribosomal RNA", at positions 29 to 523 of the family's 1533-position model. The record is from RNAcentral.
AGCGAACGCUGGCGGCAGGCCUAACACAUGCAAGUCGAACGGAUCCUUCGGGAUUAGUGGCGGACGGGUGAGUAACACGUGGGAACGUGUCCUUUGGUUCGGAACAACUCAGGGAAACUUGAGCUAAUACCGGAUGUGCCCUUCGGGGGAAAGAUUUAUCGCCAUUGGAGCGGCCCGCGCCUGAUUAGCUAGUUGGUGAGGUAAAGGCUCACCAAGGCGACGAUCAGUAGCGGGUCUGAGAGGAUGAUCAGCCACAUUGGGACUUAGACACGGCCCAAACUCCUACGGGAGGCAGCAGUGGGGAAUCUUGCGCAAUGGGCGAAAGCCUGACGCAGCCAUGCCGCGUGAAUGAUGAAGGUCUUAGGAUUGUAAAAGUCUUUCACCGGGGACGAUAAUGACGGUACCCGGAGAAGAAGCCCCGGCUAACUUAGUGCCAGCCGCCGCAGUAA